AACACCAAGUCUGCAGCGUUUACACCCGGGUAGUCCCAGCCGUAAACAAUGUGCGUUAGGUGUGUCGGUAACCACGCGUUACUGAUGCGCCGAAGAGAAAUCGUGAAACGCACCACCCGGGAAGUACGGUCGCAAGGCUGAAACUUAAGGGAAUUGGCGGGGAGCACCACAACAGGUGGAGCCUGCGGUUUAAUUGGAUUCAACGCCGGACAUCUCACCGGAUAAGACAGCUGAAUGAUUGUCAAUCUGAAGGUUUUACAUGACUAGCUG
This 270-nucleotide ribosomal RNA is filed under the name uncultured archaeon. RNAcentral's name for it is "partial 16S ribosomal RNA". It matches the Rfam family "Archaeal small subunit ribosomal RNA", at positions 715 to 982 of the family's 1478-position model. The record is from RNAcentral.